Molecule: long non-coding RNA, 1086 nt
Filed under: Mus musculus (house mouse)
Lineage: Eukaryota; Metazoa; Chordata; Mammalia; Rodentia; Muridae
Description: long non-coding RNA chr5:144136167-144137253
Source: RNAcentral
UGAAUCACCCAUAUGUGUGUAAAACAUGUAAGCAUAUAGGUGGUUCCCCUUUUAAAAAAAUGGCCAAGCAGGUAGAAAAAGUAAGCGCUGACAUCAGCAGACUGAGGCUUCUGUCCACGCUCGCGCUAUUGCAGACUCGCAGUUUUAUUUAUGAGUACACUGUUGCUGUCUUCAGACACUCCAGAAGAGGGCAUCGGAUCCAGUUACAGGUGGUUGUGAGCCACCAUGUGGUUGCUGAGAAUUGAACUCAGGACCUCUGAAAGAGCAGCCAGUGCUCUUAAGUGCUGAGCUAUCUCUCCAGCCCAGCUGGGGCCAUCUUAACUUCAGCGGUAGAAUCCCAGCCCAGAUGAGUACUGGUGGGAGAGAGGCCAGAUUAUGGAAGGGAAAAAUGGUGGAGGUGACCUUGGAAAUAGCUUGAUCCAGGGCCCCCAAGUUCAGCCAUCUUUUUACAGGCUUUGCACGUCAGCCUCAUCCCUCAGGCGGUUCUCUCCUUGGAAGAGAGUGACUGCUGAGAAUUCCAGACCCUGGUCUUUGUAGCUUCACCCUUCUGGGACCAGGAAACAUGCAGAAGCGUCGCUCAGGAAGGUGGGGCAGAUAAGAGACCUGCAGCUUCCCUCUGGGUCUCUUGGGAUGGUGAGGAGCACAAACAGAGGUGGGCAUGAAAGCAGCUACAGGGAGCCAGGCAGCUAUCCUUUUUCUGUCUUGAAGCCUCCUUGAGGUCACUCUUGGAGCUGGGGAGCUGGCCCAGUAGGAAGAUGGCUCACUGCUGCACAAGCCUGAGGACCUGAGGUUGCACUUCCCACUCACAUGUAAGAGGAGGCCAGGCCAGGUGACAAAACUGAUAGUCCGGAGUCAGGGAGGUUUUCUGUUUCAAAAACUGAGGCGGAGACCAACAGAGGAAGGCUCCUGCCAUUGCUUGGCUUCUGGGACACACAGGUACAGACACACAGUGCAUACAGUCCCUAUCACAUGUGUCAGGAAAUAGGAAGGAAAUUUUUAGCUUCUCUACUUAGAAUAUUCAACUAUUUUUAUCAUCCUGGGAUAUAAAAGAACUUGCCAUCCUUGGCACUAAAUCUAGACAACAUG